GCUUGUCUCAAAGAUUAAGCCAUGCAUGUCUAAGUACAAGCCUCAGUAAGGUGAAACCGCGAAUGGCUCAUUAAAUCACACCUAAUCUACUGGAAAGUUACUAGUUACUUGGAUAACUGAGGUAAUUCUUGAGCUAAUACAUGCGAAAAAUCUCGACUCACGGAGAGAUGCUUUUAUUAGAUCAAAACCAAACGGCUUCGGCCGUCUCAUUGGUGACUCUGAAUAACUUUGGGCUGAUCGUAUGGCCUUGUGCCGACGACGUUUCCUUCAAGUUUCUGCCCUAUCAGCUUUGGAUGGUAGGGUAUUGGCCUACCAUGGCUUUAACGGGUAACGGAGAAUUAGGGUUCGAUUCCGGAGAGGGAGCCUGAGAAAUGGCUACCACAUCCAAGGAAGGCAGCAGG
Molecule: ribosomal RNA, 401 nt
Filed under: Crustacea environmental sample
Lineage: Eukaryota; Metazoa; Arthropoda
Description: partial small subunit ribosomal RNA
Rfam family: Eukaryotic small subunit ribosomal RNA
Source: RNAcentral